Molecule: ribosomal RNA, 253 nt
Filed under: uncultured bacterium
Lineage: Bacteria
Description: partial 16S ribosomal RNA
Rfam family: Bacterial small subunit ribosomal RNA
Source: RNAcentral
UACGUAGGGCGCAAGCGUUAUCCGGAAUUAUUGGGCGUAAAGAGCUCGUAGGCGGUUUGUCGCGUCUGCCGUGAAAGUCCGGGGCUCAACUCCGGAUCUGCGGUGGGUACGGGCAGACUAGAGUGAUGUAGGGGAGACUGGAAUUCCUGGUGUAGCGGUGAAAUGCGCAGAUAUCCGGAAGAACACCUGAGGCGAAGGCGGCUUGCUGGGCAUGAUCUGACGCUGAGGCGCGAAAGCGUGGGGAGCAAACAGG